UUUUCGGAUGGAAUUUAAUUGACUGAGUGGCGGACGGGUGAGUAACGCGUGGAUAACCUGCCUCACACUGGGGGAUAACGCACCGAAAGGUGCACUAAUACCGCAUAAGACCACGUUUCUGACAUGGGAAUGAGGUCAAAGGAGCAAUUCGGUGGAAGAUGGGCUCGCGUCUGAUUAGCUAGUUGGUGAGGUAACGGCCCACCAAGGCGACGAUCAGUAGCCGACCUGAGAGGGUGAUCGGCCACAUUGGAACUGAGAGACGGUCCAAACUCC
This 273-nucleotide ribosomal RNA is filed under the name uncultured Eubacteriales bacterium. RNAcentral's name for it is "uncultured Clostridiales bacterium partial 16S ribosomal RNA". It matches the Rfam family "Bacterial small subunit ribosomal RNA", at positions 74 to 339 of the family's 1533-position model. The record is from RNAcentral. Lineage: Bacteria; Bacillati; Bacillota; Clostridia; Eubacteriales.